CAAAAUAGUGUAAUUAUAACUCAUAUAUCCUUGAUAAUUGGGUCGAGGGUGUCUACGAGGCAACCGUAAUUGCUUCUCUAUGAGCCGGAAUGGUUUAUGG
RNAcentral lists this non-coding RNA (100 nucleotides) under Desulfosporosinus acidiphilus. RNAcentral's name for it is "Guanine sequence". It matches the Rfam family "Purine riboswitch aptamer". Rfam says of the family: Riboswitches are metabolite binding domains within certain messenger RNAs that serve as precision sensors for their corresponding targets. Allosteric rearrangement of mRNA structure is mediated by ligand binding, and this results in modulation of gene expression. The record is from RNAcentral. Lineage: Bacteria; Bacillati; Bacillota; Clostridia; Eubacteriales; Desulfitobacteriaceae.